This is a small nuclear RNA of Hypanus sabinus (Atlantic stingray), 104 nucleotides long. Lineage: Eukaryota; Metazoa; Chordata; Chondrichthyes; Myliobatiformes; Dasyatidae. The record is from RefSeq and is a predicted model, not a curated record.
ACCAAAGGGCAUAAAUUUGGUAUAUAACUUGGAACAAUGCAGGAACGAUUAGCAUGGCUCUGCACAAGGGUGACUCGCAAAUUAGUGAAGAGUCCAUAUUGUUU